This 1696-nucleotide ribosomal RNA is filed under the name Coscinodiscus wailesii. RNAcentral describes it as "small subunit ribosomal RNA". It matches the Rfam family "Bacterial small subunit ribosomal RNA". The record is from RNAcentral. Lineage: Eukaryota; Bacillariophyta; Coscinodiscophyceae; Coscinodiscales; Coscinodiscaceae.
UAAAAUAAUUUGAGUUUGAUCCUGGCUCAGGAUGAACGCUUGUAAUAUGCUUUACACAUGCGAGUUAUACUAUAUUAAAUUUAAUAUAAGUAGCGAACGGGUGAGUUUUUGUAGUUUUUUGUUACUUUUUAGUUUAAGAUAAAACGCAACUAAUUAAAUAAAAAAUUUAAAGUUAUUUAAUUAAUUAAAAAAUCGUGUUAAUAUUAAAAAAAAAAUAAAAUUUUUGCUAAAAAAUAUAACUGCAAAAGAUUAGGUUGUUGGUUUUGUUAAAGAAUACCAAGCCUUUGAUCUUAAGUUGAUCUUAGCGGAUGAUUAACCACACUGGAACUGAGACAAGGACCAGGCUUUAUUUAGCCAGCAGUGAGGAAUAUUGGACAAUGAACGAAAGUUUGAUCCAGCAAUAUUACGUGAAUGACUUUUUAUUUGAGAAUAUUAUAAUUUAUUCAAUAUUUAUAUAAUAAAAUAAGGCUUUUUUGUUGUAAAAUUCUUUUUUAUUUUUUAAUAAUGCUAUAAAAUAAAAAAAGUCCCGGCUAAUACUCGUGCCAGCAGCCGCGGUAAUACGGGAGGGGCUAGCGUUAUCCGUAAUUACUGGGCGUAAAGUGUUUGUAGAUUGUAACGUAAGUUAUAUUAUUAAAUCUUAAAUUAUAAUUUAAAAUUAAUAUGUAAAACUGCAUUACUAGGAGUUUGUAUCAGAAGAAUAGAAUUUUAUGAGAAGGGGUAACAUCUGUUGAUUCAUAAAGGAAUACCAUAAAGUGAAGACAAUUCUUUAGUAAAAACUGACAUUGAGAAACGAAAAUAUAGGUAGCAAACAGGAUUAGAUACCCUGGUAGUCUAUAUUGUAAAUAAUGAAUGCUGUAAUUUAAAUUUUUUUUAAAUUGUUUAAGCUAACGCGAUAAGCAUUCCGCCUGAGGAGUAAUGUCGCAAGAUUAAAACUCAAAGGAAUUGACGGGAGCCUACUACAAGUGGUGGAGCAUGUGGUUUAAUGCGAUAAUACGCGCAAAAUCUUACCAGUUUUUGAUUUUUUAAAGUAAAUAAAAUUAAAAUAAUUGUUAAAUUUUAAAUUAAUUUUUUUGUUUUAAAAACAGGUGUUGCACGACUGUCGUCAGUUCGUGUCGUGAGAUGUUUGGUUUAUUCCUUUAACGAAUGUAACUCUUAGCUUUUUAUAUAAUACAUUAUAAUGUUUUAUUUACUAAAUAAAACAAUAAAAAUACUAAAAAGUAACUGUUUAUAAUAAAUAAAAGGAAGGUAAGAAUCAAAGUCAAGUCCCUGUGGCCUUUAUAAACUGGGCUAUACAUGUGCUACAAUGAAAAUUACAAUAAGUUAUAAUUUUUUAUGAAUCUUUAAAAAUUUUCUUAGUUCGGAUUAUAUACUGAAACUCGUAUAUAUGAAGCUGGAAUCACAAGUAAUCGCAAAUUAGAAAUUGUUGUGGUGAAUACGUAUCUUGGUUUUGUACACACCGCCCGUCACAUGCGGGGAGUUAAUAUUGCUUGAAGGUAUAAUUUCAAAAUUAUAUUAAUAAUUUUAAAAUUAUUGAUUAAUGGGAAAAAUAUAUUUAGUGAAGUAUUAAUAACCUGUAUGAAGUCGUAACAAGGUAGCUGUACGGGAACGUGUAGCUGGAAAAAACUUAAAAAAUAUGUUUAUAAGAAAAGAUGACUGAGUGGCUUAUAGUGAAGGUUUGCUAAAUCUUUGUAUAGAA